AACUCAGAUUUUGAGCAAACAAAGCUCUCAAGUUGGUGAUCCUCAGGAGUCUCUGCAUUAGUUGGACAGCUCUUCUGGAAUUAUCUUCUAAGUCAACUGUGGGUUGGGUAGGUGGCUCUGCUGAUUUUUCGCUGGACUUCCACAUUUGGGACCAGUUGGCUGUCAUCAGCUCUAGAAAGGGUGUGGCCGUUUUACAUUGGCUGUUUUCCUCACAUUCCUCAAGCAGGAGGGCUCUGAGAGAUUUCAUUUCUGUCCUGCUGAUGAAGUCUACUUUCAUUCAGGGCCUGCUGUGGAAGACCAGCCCCCAAAGUUGCUGAACAGAAGACUUUUGAGAGUCAGCAGAAAUCUUCCACUUUGCAUGGUUCUCUUGAUGUGAAAUCAUCUAUAUAGCCCCAGAAUUGGAAAAGAAAAAAAAUAAAAAAAUAGAAGGAA
This 432-nucleotide non-coding RNA is filed under the name Pan troglodytes (chimpanzee). The record is from RNAcentral. Lineage: Eukaryota; Metazoa; Chordata; Mammalia; Primates; Hominidae.